GAGGAAUAUUGGUCAAUGGGCGCAAGCCUGAACCAGCCAUCCCGCGUGAAGGAAGAAUGCGCUAUGCGUUGUAAACUUCUUUUCCAGGGGAAGAAACUCAUCUACGAGUAGGUGAUUGCCGGUACCCUGGGAAUAAGCAUCGGCUAACUCCGUGCCAGCAGCCGCGGUAAUACGGAGGAUGCGAGCGUUAUCCGGAUUUAUUGGGUUUAAAGGGUGCGUAGGCGGAUUAAUAAGUCAGUGGUGAAAUGCUGCAGCUUAACUGUAGAAUUGCCGUUGAUACUGUUAGUCUUGAGUAUGGUUAAGGUAGGCGGAAUGUGUAAUGUAGCGGUGAAAUGCUUAGAUAUUACACAGAACACCGAUUGCGAAGGCAGCUUACUGAACCACAACUGACGCUGAUGCACGAAAGCGUGGGGAGCGAAC
RNAcentral lists this ribosomal RNA (420 nucleotides) under uncultured bacterium. RNAcentral's name for it is "bacterial SSU rRNA". It matches the Rfam family "Bacterial small subunit ribosomal RNA", at positions 356 to 773 of the family's 1533-position model. The record is from RNAcentral.